RNAcentral lists this ribosomal RNA (416 nucleotides) under uncultured bacterium. RNAcentral's name for it is "bacterial SSU rRNA". It matches the Rfam family "Bacterial small subunit ribosomal RNA", at positions 950 to 1364 of the family's 1533-position model. The record is from RNAcentral.
UACGGGGGGAACGGGAAGAACCUUACCAAAUCUUGACAUCCUCUGACCCCUCUAGAGAUAGAGUUUUCCCCUUCGGGGGACAGAGUGACAGGUGGUGCAUGGUUGUCGUCAGCUCGUGUCGUGAGAUGUUGGGUUAAGUCCCGCAACGAGCGCAACCCUUAAGCUUAGUUGCCAUCAUUAAGUUGGGCACUCUAAGUUGACUGCCGGUGACAAACCGGAGGAAGGUGGGGAUGACGUCAAAUCAUCAUGCCCCUUAUGAUUUGGGCUACACACGUGCUACAAUGGACAAUACAAAGGGUAGCGAAACCGCGAGGUCAAGCAAAUCCCAUAAAGUUGUUCUCAGUUCGGAUUGUAGUCUGCAACUCGACUAUAUGAAGCUGGAAUCGCUAGUAAUCGUAGAUCAGCAUGCUAUAUCC